GACUCGAUGGCGAAGUGUGGUGACGUAUCCACAAACUGUUCGACUUCUUCGUGCAAGUCGCCGGUUCGAUUCCGGCUCGAGUCA
Molecule: non-coding RNA, 84 nt
Organism: Mycena capillaripes
Lineage: Eukaryota; Fungi; Basidiomycota; Agaricomycetes; Agaricales; Mycenaceae
Source: the annotation of a GenBank genome assembly